UACGUAGGGUGCAAGCGUUAUCCGGAAUUAUUGGGCGUAAAGAGCUCGUAGGCGGCUUGUCGCGUCGGAUGUGAAAGCCCGGGGCUUAACUCCGGGUCUGCAUUCGAUACGGGCAGGCUAGAGUUCGGUAGGGGAGAUCGGAAUUCCUGGUGUAGCGGUGAAAUGCGCAGAUAUCAGGAGGAACACCGGUGGCGAAGGCGGGUCUCUGGGCCGUAACUGACGCUGAGGAGCGAAAGCAUGGGGAGCGAACAGG
RNAcentral lists this ribosomal RNA (253 nucleotides) under uncultured bacterium. RNAcentral describes it as "partial 16S ribosomal RNA". It matches the Rfam family "Bacterial small subunit ribosomal RNA", at positions 524 to 776 of the family's 1533-position model. The record is from RNAcentral.